UAUACAUGAGCAAAAUCUCAACUUUAUUAGAAGAGACGCAUUUAUUAGAUAAAAAGCCAAUGCAUGCUUUUACAGUAUGGAAAUUGGUGAUUUAUAAUAACUUGGCAAAUCGCAAAGUGAAAACAGGCGAUAAAUCAUUCAAGUUUCUGACCUAUCAGCUUUCGACGGGAUGGUAUUGGCUUACCGUGGCAGUGACGGUUAACGGGGGAUUAGGGUUCGAUUCCGGAGAGGGAGCCUGAGAAACGGCUACCACAUCUAAGGAAGGCAGCAGGCGCGCAAAUUACCCAAUUCUAACAGUUUGAGAGAGGUAGUAACAAGAAAUAACAAUACAAGGCAAUUAAAAUGUUUUGUAAUUGGAAUGAUAGAAAUUUAAACCCUUUUUAAAGUAUCAAUUGGAGGGCAAGUCUGGUGCCAGCAGCCGCGGUAAUUCCAGCUCCAAUAGCGUAUAUUAAAAUUGUUGCAGUUAAAAAGCUCGUAAUUGAAGUUCUGCUAAAAGUAACCGGUCUGCUUUUAAUAAAAGUGGUAUCUUGGUGUGUAUUUAGCAAUGAUGUCCUUUGAAGUGUUUUUUACUUUAUUGUAAUAAAGCAUAUUCAGGACUUUUACUUUGAGAAAAUUAGAGUGUUUCUAGCAGGCCGACGCUUUGAAUACUGCAGCAUGGAAAUAAUAAGA
RNAcentral lists this ribosomal RNA (669 nucleotides) under Hepatozoon canis. Its description in RNAcentral is "SSU rRNA". It matches the Rfam family "Eukaryotic small subunit ribosomal RNA", at positions 166 to 823 of the family's 1831-position model. The record is from RNAcentral. Lineage: Eukaryota; Apicomplexa; Hepatozoidae.